Vicugna pacos (alpaca) is the source of this 3702-nucleotide non-coding RNA. The record is from RefSeq and is a predicted model, not a curated record. NCBI's taxonomy places the organism in Eukaryota, Metazoa, Chordata, Mammalia, Artiodactyla, Camelidae.
GUAUAAUAUUCCAGUGCAUAGAUGGACCACAUUUUGUUUACCCAUUCACCCACUGAUAGACAUCUGGGUUUUUUCUACCUUUGGGCUGUUGUAUACAGUGCUGCUGUGAACAUGUGUACCUUUAUUUGUCUGAAUAUCUGUUUUCAAUUCUUCUGACUAUAUACGUUGGAGUGGCAUCCUGGGUCAUAUGUCAUUUUAUGAUUAACUAUUUGAGGAACCACCUCAAGCUGUUUCCCACAGUGACUGCGCCAUUUUACAUCCCCACCAGCAAUUCUUGAGGGUUCCAGUUUCUCCAUGUUCUCUCCAACACUUUUUCUCUCUCCCUCCCUUCCUGCAGUCCCAGUGGGCACAAUCGUGUCUCACUGUGUUUGGAUCUGCAUCGCCCUUUCCACAGGCUUCUUGGCCCUUCACAUGUUUUCCCAGGAACCAUCCUUGCUCCCUGUUUCCACUUCUCUCUUUGUGCUUCCUUCCCUCACUCCUGACCCCCUUGAGCCUUUCCUUGAGCCCACUGGCCCUGAGUGCCCCCUGUGCCCGUGGGCUCAGCCUCGAGUGACUUACACACGUUUUAGGAGGUGGUGUCUUCCUGCUGCAUCCAGCUCCAGGUCAGAUGUCCCCACUCCCACUCCUCCUGUCACAGGGCUGAGGGUGGGGCUUCGAUAAGGCUUCCCCAGAAGCAGACCUGUGAUGAGGACGUGAGUGCCGCUGGUUUGCCUGAGGGCACAAAGCACAUCAGCAGGGGUGAGAGGAGGAGGGGCAUCACCAGGCCAGCUGCCGGGGUUGCACUUGUGUCUCGGGGUUAUUCCCCCAGGGGGACGGGGGCUGGGGUCUCUUGAGGGCUGCUCCCUGGGAGCUGACUUGGGGAGGAUGGGGUCACAGUGUCUCUAUGGGCCAGAGAAGGCCCUCAGGCAAAGAAACACAGGAGUUGGCAUUUAGAAGUUGGGCUAGCGUGCCCAGAAGCUGCGGGGUGCAGGGACGGGGCGUGGAGGGUGUCCGCCAUGGGGGGAAGCAGAUUUCAGGGAAAGUGAUGUGAGUGGACCUUCAAACAAGAUGUGUUCAAACCUAGUGUGGCCACCACUUUCCCGGCCCUGCCCCCCAUGGCCCAGGGCUUUCAGUCCAAGUCCUGCCCCUGUUGGGAGCCAGUAAGAACCAGAUAUGGCUUCUACUGGGAGCGACACCCCCCAGCAGGUGGGGCCUCUCGUUCCUUCUUUGCCUUAAGCCUCACAUGAUGGGGUGUCAUGGCCAGGAAGGGCUUGACCCACGAGAAGUUGGCCACAGCUCUCCCGGGUCAUCCAUAUGCCUUGGAUGGUGGCUCAUGACACAGCACCUGGCUUCUGAGGACACCCAUUUCACCCCUUGCAAAGGACAUACUCCAGCAUGUAAGUGUCCUUGGAAACGACUCUCCGGAUGCCACCAAGACAGAAGCAAUUUCCAGGCACUCAAUGAGACUGGUCCAGCUGCCUCAACCAGGAAAUGUUUUCAUUUGUGUCUGCUUUAUUCCCAAGGGAGCACAGCUCUGAGGCUGGCCAGGAGACAGGAGCCUGUUGGCCUGGGCUGGCUCUUUGUCCCCCAUGUCCCCGGAGGAUGCCCACUCAUCCCACUGCUGUGGCCCGCUCUCCCUCCCACUGGGCUGAGGAGGCAGUGAACACUGCUGGGCAGCUGGGGCCAUAGUGGAGAUUUGGAGAGAGAAGUACCUUCCCUUCCACCACUCUCUUCCUGCCAGGAGGGCCUCCAGGAGCCGACGGCUCCAGCCCCUGUGAUAGAUGAGCAUCCAGGAGCCCUGGUCUCUUCCACACAGGAGGAGGGAUACAGAAGCGCCAUGGAAGGUGCUUUGCAGAAAAGCACGAAGGCCUGGGACAGGGCCUCGCCUCUCCUACUGCUGACGCUUUUCAGUCGGCGCGCUGACAUGAGGGUUGCGUGUGUACCCGUGUGCAUGUGAAUGUCCCAGAGCUCCAGGGGCCAAAGCGGUGCUGCAGGCUGGGCACCCGUGGGUCCUGGCAGCCGGGGCAGGGGUGCGGGGGGCAGCCUGGCCGGGCAGCGCGCUUGCGACCGCCGGCUCCCUCUCAGUCCACAGCCCCAGCUUCCGCGCUCCUCACUGCUGGUUAUGCGUCAGGAGCCUCCCAGGGAUUUCGGUUUGCAGAGCUGGCUGGACACGUUACAGAGCAAGUGGCCGGUGGUGGCGAGCCCCGACUGUGACCUUCCCCCUGGGAGGGGCACAGCUCCAUUUUGAAGCUGUGUUGAGCUGAGAGUGGCCUUUUCUCCCACCCCCAAGGAAAGACUGAGAUUCCUAAAUAUAUCCUGGUAAAAGGGGCCAGCUGCCUCUUUUUUGUUCUUUUCAGUUGGGGAGGUAAUCAGGCCAGUUUAUUUAUUUAUUUAUUACUGGAGGUACUGGGGAUUGAACCCAGGACCUCGCGCAUGGAUGCUAGGCACGGACUCUGCCACUGAGCUAUCCAUCCCUCCUGCCUCUUUAUUCCUAACAGGCAAGUCUCAGAGGAGCAGGCUAACCAGGGGCCCUGUGGAUGGGAGGCUGUGGGGGAGGGUGUGGUCACCACUGUCUUGGGGUUGGCAGACGGCCUCUGCCCCACCGACCUAACCCUAUGGAUUUCCCUCAGUCUGCGUCCUGUGAGAUCUGCACAGGGCUCAGUACAGCUGCAGCCCUGCGAGUGAACGUAGGGGAGCAGGAGGCAGAGAACUCACGGGCCGGCCUUGCAGUCCACAGGAGAAGCCACCCUCUGGCCUCAAAGACAGGAUGUGCUGAGCAAGAGUCAGCCAGGCUCGGGUCACUGGAACUCAGUGGACUGGAGUUUACAGGAAAAAGAAAAAAGGGCCAACCUCCAGUUCGGGUCUGGACGGGCCCUCACUACCCUGAGUGUUCCGGAACCUUCAUUUCGUUUCUCUACGAGAUUGACCUCUAGUGCCUGCAGCUGAGUAAGGCUCCACGAAUCUUUCCCACCAGGAUUCACUAAUGAAACUGAAAAGGCUCAUCACCUUCCUCCCAAACAUGGCCCACGAUUCCUGGGAGCAUCUCCACCAGCAAAGCAUGGGUACCAUCCUUUCUCUCCCCAGCCGGGAAGGCGGCUGUCUGCCUAACUCCUAAUUACGCCCUUCAAGGCUGCAUUAAAUCAUUGCGCCCGGACGCUGCAUUGUGGGUAAUCAGCUGCUGCUUUAAUAUGUCUGGCUGUUCUGCAUUUCCGCAGGCAGAGCCUGUCUGAAGGGAAGAUUCGCCCGUCUGUCUGGAUCUUGACUGGAAAUCACAGACCACAGGAUAAGCGUGGUGUGGCAGGUGGAUGUGUUAAACCCCGCCGAGAGCUCGAGCUGGAAUUUCCCCUCUUGCCCUCAGGCAUGGCCCAGAGACUCGGGUGGUCAUCUCAGGCUGGAGGAAAUCCAGCGGGAAUCUGCUCUAUAAACUCCCCGAGUCCCUUUCUUUCUUAUUUUUUUUUAAAACAGAUGUAUUGAGAUGUAAUUCCUGUGCAUACAGUUCGCCCAUGGAACGUGUACAUUUCAUUGGGUUUUGGUAUCUUCAUGGAGCUGUGCAACCAUUACCACAGUCAAUUUUACAACAUUUUUUAUCACCUCUAAAACUGAUAGCUACCAAUGAUAACUGUAACCCCCCAGCACCCCCAGCCCCUCGCAGCCACUGAUGAACUUCAUGUCUCUGCAGUGUUCCCUGUUCUGGACACUUCAUAUAAAUGGACUCAUACAGUA